UAUGCAAACUGUCAGUGUUCGUGUGCCUUGGAGGAUUUGUGUAUUUGUUCACAGCAGCUCAGUUUGUGGUGAAAUGAUGAGUUUAAUUCAGUUUAUUCUCUUGGUGGUUCUUUAUCAUCAGUUCACAUGCAGUGUGUUUGGCUCUUCAGUUGAACGUGGUUCUUUAGAAUCUUCAUGGAGUGAUGUUGGGGAUGUAGCUGGAGACAAAGGUAACUUCAGUCAGAAUGCUACUGCUGAGCAAUCUUACACCAAUGCUAACUACAGUCAGAAUGCUACGGAGGAAUCAACCAAUGCCACCUUCAGUCAGAAUUCUGCUCCUUUAACCAACGGCAACUUCAGUCAGAAUUUAUUAUCCAUGCAUCAAAAUAAAACUAUUUAAAA
Long non-coding RNA from Triplophysa rosa, 381 nucleotides. RefSeq lists it as uncharacterized. The record is from RefSeq and is a predicted model, not a curated record. NCBI's taxonomy places the organism in Eukaryota, Metazoa, Chordata, Actinopteri, Cypriniformes, Nemacheilidae. The transcript is spliced from 3 exons.